AUUGCUUUGGACCCUGAAUAUUCUAGAAAAACAUCUAGAAGAUUUGUAGCUGGUGGUUUAGCUGGUCAUUUGUAUUUUAAUUGGAAAAAAUGGCUGGGCUAUCGAGACCAGGUUUUGCACUCUGGUGAAGGUCCAAUACAUGCUGUAAAGUGGAGAACAAGUCUCAUUGCAUGGGCUAAUGAUGCAGGCGUGAAAGUUUAUGAUGCUGCCAAUGAUCAGCGAAUAACAUUCAUUGAAAGACCACGAGGAAGUCCACGCCCUGAGCUUUUGCUCCCUCACUUAGUUUGGCAGGACGAUUCCCUCUUGGUUAUUGGCUGGGGAACAUCCGUGAAAAUUGCAUCAAUAAGAACAAAUGAGUAUAAUGGAACCAAUGGGACAUAUAAGCACAUUCCAGCAGCUAGUAUGAACAAGGUGGA
Molecule: unclassified non-coding RNA, 416 nt
Filed under: Hevea brasiliensis (rubber tree)
Lineage: Eukaryota; Viridiplantae; Streptophyta; Magnoliopsida; Malpighiales; Euphorbiaceae
Source: RNAcentral